This is an RNA transcript of Neoarius graeffei (lesser salmon catfish), 1394 nucleotides long. RefSeq lists it as uncharacterized. The record is from RefSeq and is a predicted model, not a curated record. The transcript is spliced from 8 exons. Lineage: Eukaryota; Metazoa; Chordata; Actinopteri; Siluriformes; Ariidae.
AUAUGACUGGCAGUUUCACCCCAUCUACAUUGUUUCCAAGAGCUCACACUGUGUGCAUGCAUGUGUGUGUGGGUCUGAGUGUUAAGAUCUCCAGCUAGUAAAAAGCUUCAGAGAAAACUGCACUGUGUUUAUUUCCCUUCAGUUGGUUUGUGGGCUUCUGGAUUUUUUUUUUUACCUCUUUUCUCUGGACUUACCAAGGAAAAAAAUGCAGGACGUCUUUGGGAUCCUGUUGAUGUUCACAGGAGCUGCAUCAGGUUUGCUGUUUCAGGAUCCUGUUGUCUGUAGAUUUACUGAGACUAAGCAGUGUUUUGUGGCUCUGGGACAACAACUGCACCUGAAAAUGCCCCUGGAGGAAACGCUUCUUCUUGAUCAGUUCAUCAGUGAGACAUCUGGUGCUCGUCGAAUUUUAAGAUAUAGAAAAGCCGAUAGUCUCCCACCAAAACCACUUCUCCCAUGGCAGUUUGUUAAUGAUAAUAAAACUCUGAUCCUCAGCAGUGUAGAGAGGAGUGACUCUGGAAAUUACACUUUAAUCACCUUUGAUGCAAACGGGAAUACUAAAGGCGAUUAUAAUCUCCAGGUGAUCAUUGAAGCUAAAGUGUCUUCAGUAAAAGUGUCCUGCAGCUGCUUGGCAACUGAAGUCAUGAAAGUGGAUUGUUCUGCUGAUGGAGACAACCUCCGCUUCACCUGGACUUCUGAUUCAAACAUAGUCGUUCUAUUGGAGAACGGGAACAGGAGUUUCGAACUGGUUAAAGACGAUCAUCGAAGUGUCACCUGCCAUGUAGAAAAUCACGUCAGCUGUGAAACUGAGACCACUGAACUCUGCCCAUGUCCUGUCAUCAGUUCCACACAGUGUAAUAAUGGUUUCAUGGUGUUUGUGUCUGUGUGGCUCUUUGAAGUCAUCAUCCUGCUGUCGCUGUUAGUGGGAGCGUUUUAUAUUUACACCAGAAUCUACAGGAAGCAGAGAAUAACUGAGAAUCAGGAUCAGGAAGCUCUGUAAACCUGGAUCAGGAACAGAAGAAUCAGUCCAUGGUUGCUCUCCUCCAUCCAGCAACUCAUCCACACUGAACCUCCAGAAAAAGAUAACCAUCAGUAACAGAUGGUGGACGAGUUAGUGGUGAUUUACAUGCUCUGGAAAAGGAGAAGAGGAGAAAGACAAUCACCCUCAUAGUAACUUUACGCAUCUUUCCUAUGGCUAAUGAAUCCUAUUUGCCAUGAAAGGCACAGUUACAGUCAGGGCAUGUGAUGUUGCAGUCUGGGACUGGAGGGACUCGUGUUUUCCGGGCUGCCCUUUUCUCCUCAGGUACACGUGCGAGUUCCUUUUCUAAGAAUACACUGUCAUGGAAGAGUACAUUCAAGAGGUGCUGCAAUCAGGCUAUAUCCAUCUGUCCAUGUGU